UUUGCUGUGCUUCAAGCCUGAUUCUACUGGAGACAACACAAUACAAAGAUUUCAUGUUUUUCUUGCAAGUAGUCUGUACUAUUCCCAAAACCUAUAGUGUCUAGCAGAUGGUAAAAACAGACUUUUUUUUUAAAAAAAGUCACGCUUCUAACAUGCUGUCAAUUUCCCCCUUAAACUGACAUCUACAAAUCUCCUUUACUAGAUUCAGCCAGCCAUUUGUAUGAACGAAGCAGCUGGCCUUAUCAACUCACAGAAUAUUGAUUACUAAUACUGUGAAUUCAACGAGGAUUUCGAGUAUUUACCAGCUAUACCAGCUGCAUAACUCACAAGGUCAUCCCUGCCACAGUUAUACAACUCACCCCGUUUAGACAAAGCUUUCCGCUCGUAUAGCACAGCACUUGGUAAAAAAAUGCGAGCAAUGAGAGUCCAAUUCAUCUGUCAAUUGACUGAGACAAAGAUUACUCACAGAGCUCAGCUGUUUGACACACAUGUCUCCAGCAGAUUCAAAAAUAUAUUUGCAGUGGUACAGCAAUCAAUUCCCUCUAGAGUUUAUGUAUGCCAACAACACUCAUAAGAGGAAGUGGCAAGCCUCACACCACAUAUUUGUGGGAAUUUACUGCUCCCAAAAGAUCAGAAAUCCCACUCUACACAUGGACUGCAAUGGCUGCUUAGACUUAGGACAUAUUCUCUAUUCUUCCUACUGGAGAACCACAAUAUACAGCAGUUCUGAAACUAGGGUAAAGCACCAAAAGAAUGAACCCCAUGGCCACCACUUGCUGGAGAGUUGUUAAAAAUACAGUGGACAACAUGGUUGGGAAGAGGUGAAAGUAGGAAUUGAGGUAAGGUUACAAAACCAGUAAAAAGCAGUAUGAAAUUUGGAAGAAGGUAUUAGACACUAAACAACAACAUGUAUCACUGCCUAAAUGCAGAAAAAAUGUGUAUGUUUAAUCAUGAUUCUCUGUUUAACUUCAUGAGCAAAUUUCUAGCUCCACUGAAUCAGGAACAAAAGCUGAGAUUUUAAGAGAGUGCAGCCAUUCUUUCAAACAUUUAAGGUGCUUAAGACAUUAAAAAUAAUAAAAAUCAGCAGAAGUCCAUGGUUAGAAUGUAGCUAAAGUCUGUAAGCUUUGAAUGUUUCACACUAUUUUUGCUAUCACAGGUGAGAAACAGCAAACUACCUACUUGAAUUGGUUCAGUGAUAAAUCCAGCUAUUGUCUUUGAUACUGAGGUAUUCAGAGUAUCUUUGAACUGUUCAAUGUACUGGUCCUUUGCAUGACAUAUACCUGUUCACAGGGGAAUAGUUUAAAUGGAAUUUACUUUAAAUGACACAAAAUUAGCUUCAAAACAUGAAAAUAUGCACCUAAUCAACAAGUAUUAUCUGACUGCAUGUUAAAUAUCACCUGUCAAAAACACAAUAGAAGGCUAAACAUUAAAGGAGAGAGUCCCUUAUUUUCUCUUAAAUGAUUCAUACUCUAAGGAAUGACAAAACAGCAAGGCAAAGCCAACAGAUGAUGUUACACAUUGUAUAGGUCAGUAAGCUGUAGGUUAGAGACAGUGUUUGUGAAUCACCUACAUAAGCAGAAGGAAUAAACAGACACUUUCUUAGGGGUUAAUAAACAUUAAUGUAAGACAUGAGGAAUCAUUAGGUUAAUGUAAGUAUAAGGAUUCUGGAAAAUAGAGCUGCACAUCAGUCUAUACUGAAAUAAAGAACAGUAUAGCUAACACACCUAUCCACUGGGGAUGGCAAAGCUAGAAAAAAAAUUAUUACGUAUGCACGUGAAUUAAAAUACUACAGAGUUGAAACUGCGCAAAUAAUUCACUGUAACUGUUGUUAACAGGAGCAGUAAAGGAGCUUUCACUUUGUGCUGUGUGCAGAAUGGUUUGUUGCAUGGCUUUUUGCGUAUCAUGGGCUACAGGUUAUCCUUGUUAUUCAUUCAUUUACUCCAAAACAAAAGCUGGAGAGCUGUCAAAACUUCAGAAACAGCUGUUACGGUCAGUGCUGGAAACACCAAUCAACACUUCUGUUCCUUCAGAUGUGCCAAACUGAGUUCCACAGCUUCCAGAGUUGAUCAUAACAAAUGCUGGAAACAAAGGCUGGGAUUUUAAGAACAGAUCUUUCUCAGUGGAAAGCAGAUGCUUUAUGCCUUCUGCAAUAUUUUCUUUGGUCACUCUUGCAAAUCCUACCCGGAGGUCUAUCUUCCUCCAGGUAUAACCUAUUUCCACAGCCCUCUAGUAUUCUCUAAUCUAAAAGCCAAAUACUUCUUGUCAUUGACCAACCUUCAGAACAGGUGCAUUUUCGAACAGUUUGCACUGGAGAAUCUCUACAAUGGCUGCCUCCCCAUGGACCACGAAAAACGUCUGGUAACAUUGUCUGCCAAGCAUAAGAGAUAGCUACAGGUUUGAUGAGACCUUUCUAAAAGAUGUUUUGAUCAUACUUAGGGAUGACUAGUGAAAAAAAAACCAAAAACCAACCCCAAAAAAGUCUGUUAGAGUCAAAGGGGAUACCUGGUUCAAGCAACUUGUCUGAAAAACACUUGUAGAGUAACCCUGAACUUCUCCCUCAAGAAAUGGUAGAACAGAGACAGUUUUGGAACCAAUAAGUUCCAGCAAUAGUCAGUCAGUUGAUAAUUUCCUUUGUUUUGUUCUUUGUUAGUCAGAAGUUUUGGUUAUCUCAGAUUAAUAGCAAUGUUUUUAGAGUUUCUAGUAGUACUUUAAUAAUCCAAAGUAUGUUAAAAAUCUGCAAAAUACAGGGAGGCAGGCAGAUCUAGUAAAGUAAUUACUGGCUGGAAAUUUUGAGCUCCAGCCUUCAAAUUGUGUCUUGUGACAAAAUACCACAUGACUUCAGACAACUCAUUUAUUGAGCCAGGUUAGUAGGCUGUUACAAAGGAGCCUUUCUAUAGCCAGUGCUGUGGCUGAGCUAUCACCAGAACAAAUCAGAGUAGCCAGUGCCAGCUUCCUAUCUGUUCAAGGGCAGGGAGAUAACACAUUGCCAUCUACCCCCAGUUGAUAUGUCUCCUGUCUUGCUGAAACAAGAGACAUCACAGGGGUAUUUUUUUUUCAUUCCAGGGGAGGAUCUGCUUCAGACUAGCUGAAAGCAGCUUUGCACAGAUUUGCCAAAACAAACUUGUGAAAAGGGCUUCAGAACAUUAAUUUGCACCUUACCAUGCAAGCAUUAAACAUGACUAAAGAACUCUAAAUCAUCAACACUCAUGUUAUGGCUGUCCCAUCUCCAAAUUAGCAUAAGUAACCUUAUGGAGAAGGAAAGGGGACUGUGGCUUCUUCUACUUACAUAGCAGGACAGCUACAUUGUAGCUAGUGACCAUAAAGGACUUCAAGAAUAGAAAAUGUACUAAUGGUUAAAAUAUUCAACAAUAAACUGUUAGUUACCCAGAUUAUUUUCUGAAAAUAAAAAAUAAUAAAAAUCUCACUGUUAAACAACCAAAGCCAUUGGCAACACCAUGCUUAUAAAGACCAACAGAUGUCAAUCCCAGCGUGUAAGGGCUCCCUCCAUGGUAUGCUCCUCUGUGAAAACAAAGAAAGUAGAUGAACAUCACUCAUUUCCAAGAAGCAACUGUAGCAAUGUUAUUAGUUCUAAGAAGGUAGGUUUCUGAGCUAUAAAUUAUUAGGGAAAAUGAGCAUUGUUACACUUGAAACACAAAUAUUCCUACUGCAAUUUUCCUCUGGUUCUGGAAGACUCAUGACUACUAUCUGCACUGGUUUCCUGAAAUUUCAAAAGUUAAAAUUGUAAGGUAAUGUUUUCAAGGAGAAGAGAACAAUGACUGGAACCAAAAGCAAUUCCAACAGUGUCUCAUGAAGUUCUGCUGUAGCAUCUGAGCCCUACACAGCAAACAUACCUGUUCUUUGAAUCUAUGGAACUGCUGCUCUCUCCAACAGAUGCUGCAAUCAUUAAGCCACAUGGUGAUUCGCUACCAGUUUUAUUGGCAAAUCAGAAGUUCAUUAAUGAUAAUAUAUAAGCAAGACAUCCCCUUCACCAGCCCCUGGUCCUGUAAGGAGGAAAGUACCUUAAGUGGAUCUGGAAAAAGAGAAGUUAGCUUUUCAGCAUACUCCUGGAUUGAUGGGUGCAUGUAGAUACUAGAGGUAUGCCAGAGGCGAGCUAGCUGUUUCUGGGUAGCCAUAGUUACUUUCCUGUACAUAGCAUAAAAAGAGACAAAGGGAUUCAAUUCCACACACGUGCACUCAUACCAGCACACACCCAUCUGUUAUUAAUCCUGAAAACUCAGACACUGUGCCAUUUGCCAGAUCGAUGAGCAAGUAAACAGAAUCGAUUAAUCUUUCAAAAUGCAGAGGAAACUGACCUUAAUAUAAAUCAUACAGGACAAUACAGUGAACUAUAUUCUGCUUUUAGGCUCACAAUGCCACAGAUUAACAAAGAUCAAAACAAAAGUAUCUUUUCCUGUAUUUUAUAGCAUCAAUCAAAUAGUAACAUACUCACGGGUGACAAUGACCAACACCAACAGUGACAAUUCCAGCAAAGAGAUCAAGGUAUCUUCGUCCUUCAUAAUCAAAUAACCACUGCAUGUGUCCUUGAUGCAGCAACAAUGGCUUCUUGUAAAAUGUUCGCAAUGAAGGAGAAAUAUUUUGUUCACGAAUCUUCUGCAUGCGUUCAUAUGAAUGGGACUGAGUGGAAUAAAAAAAGUCAGUAUCCAAUUAUGCUUUCUAAAGAUCGAGACUAAUGGAGCUGUAGUGAAUCACAUAGAUUACACAGCUGUCUAUAGCAGCUGUUCACAGAACUAAGACUUUAACAAAUUCUGUCACGUAUAAGGUUCUACAAACCCCUGAAACUCAGCUUUUGAAGUAAGACUUCUGUUCUGCACUUCUCUCUUCCUUAGCUUUUCAAAUCAACAGUGUAGCCAACCUGUUACAGAACUGCCACACAGGUACAUCUAUAGGUUACAUCCUGAUUCGAACAGAAUUAGUUUUUGUCCAAACUACCAAAUUUUUUAAUCGUAUUUCAUGAACUGACUAUUUAUAGCAGAUAAGCCUAUCAGUCCAAUCUAGUAAUGCAGUCUUACUUAAAUACAGUGGAGUAUGCAUGACUUACUUUGUAUUUUUCAGGUACAAAAUUGCAAGGAGGCAUUUUUGCUUUUGUGGAGACAGAGCUUUUCCAUUUCUGCUGCCUAAAGACAACUACAAAAUAGUAACAGAAUUACCAAACACUUAUAAAAGUGCACAUCUGAAAAAGUUUCUCAAUAAGCUUAUUCACACACAAGCUACAAUCAAAGCAGGUUUUGGUGUGUGUUUUGGUGAGAUUUUUUUUUUGAGAUAUUUUCUUGUGGGAAAAAGAAAGCAAAAUAUAUGUAGAUUUUGAACCCACAAAUGCACCUUCCUCUUAUCCACUAAAAUCCAGUUCUCAUUUUCACAUGAACUUUUAUUUUGAUAGGGGGUUUCUAAUACAAAUUCUUAUCUGUGAGCAGCAAGAGCAGGAAUCCUCUCCAAGUGUGUGCCAGGAGCCCAGGGUGACCACAGCCCUAGUGGUACUCUUGGGGACCAGAGUACAGUCCCAACAGACCUGAACAAACCACGGUCCACUGAGAGUGACCACCUAAGCGGAGGAGAGGAAUCGCAUCCAGAGUCCACCCAGAAAGUCCAGUCAGGAGCAGCAGCAGAUGGGGCCAGAAACAGGGCUGGAGACAACAUAGGUCCAAGGUCCAUCCAAGAGACAAGGCCAGAGGCUACCUGGUGGCAGGGACUGAAGGGUCAGAGCUGAGCUGAAACAGGGCUCCUGGGCAGUGGGCACAGGCUCUGCGUCAUGGCUGUUACAGCUCUCCCUGACAUCUUCUGUCCUUUUUCCAAAUCCCUGAAAACUUCACACUGUUCCACCUUGCAUUUAACUGGAAGUCCAAUUAAUCAGGUAUCAGAAAAAGUUAACAUAGAAUCACAUAAUGGACUGGGUUGGAAGGGAGCUUAGGGAUCAUCUGGUAAAAUAUAUACUCUGCAUUCCUAACAUCUGUAGAGAACUACACAUUUAGUUUUAAAUGUCUAAGGUUUUAAACAAUUUCUAAAACACGUUAAAAAGUACAUGAACGAAGAAUAAAGUUUCCUGAAGUAAAUUACAUAUGCUGUUACUUCCCUUACAACCACCUAAAGCACCAAUGAAUUACCCAUCUACAUGAGUCUCAAAAGUAUUAAAGAAAGGCUAUAAGUUACA
Molecule: long non-coding RNA, 6166 nt
Organism: Melopsittacus undulatus (budgerigar)
Lineage: Eukaryota; Metazoa; Chordata; Aves; Psittaciformes; Psittaculidae
Exons: 5
Source: RefSeq, a predicted model, not a curated record